AUUGAACGCUGGCGGCAGGCCUAACACAUGCAAGUCGAGCGGAUGAAAGGAGCUUGCUCCUGGAUUCAGCGGCGGACGGGUGAGUAAUGCCUAGGAAUCUGCCUGGCAGUGGGGGACAACGUUUCGAAAGGAACGCUAAUACCGCAUACGUCCUACGGGAGAAAGCAGGGGACCUUCGGGCCUUGCGCUAUCAGAUGAGCCUAGGUCGGAUUAGCUAGUUGGUGAGGUAAUGGCUCACCAAGGCGACGAUCCGUAACUGGUCUGAGAGGAUGAUCAGUCACACUGGAACUGAGACACGGUCCAGACUCCUACGGGAGGCAGCAGUGGGGAAUAUUGGACAAUGGGCGAAAGCCUGAUCCAGCCAUGCCGCGUGUGUGAAGAAGGUCUUCGGAUUGUAAAGCACUUUAAGUUGGGAGGAAGGGUUGUAGAUUAGUACUCUGCAAUUUUGACGUUACCGACAGAAUAAGCACCGGCUAACUCUGUGCCAGCAGCCGCGGUAAUACAGAGGGUGCAAGCGUUAAUCGGAAUUACUGGGCGUAAAGCGCGCGUAGGUGGUUUGUUAAGUUGGAUGUGAAAUCCCCGGGCUCAACCUGGGAACUGCAUCCAAAACUGGCAAGCUAGAGUAUGGUAGAGGGUGGUGGAAUUUCCUGUGUAGCGGUGAAAUGCGUAGAUAUAGGAAGGAACACCAGUGGCGAAGGCGACCACCUGGACUGAUACUGACACUGAGGUGCGAAAGCGUGGGGAGCAAACAGG
Molecule: ribosomal RNA, 753 nt
Filed under: uncultured Pseudomonadaceae bacterium
Lineage: Bacteria; Pseudomonadati; Pseudomonadota; Gammaproteobacteria; Pseudomonadales; Pseudomonadaceae
Description: bacterial SSU rRNA
Rfam family: Bacterial small subunit ribosomal RNA
Source: RNAcentral